AGUUUGAUCAGUGGCUCAGGACGAACGCUGGCGGCGUGCCUAACACAUGCAAGUCGAACGAGAUCCAUGGGAGCUUGCUCCCGGAAGAUCUAGUGGCGAACGGGUGAGUAACACGUGAGAAACCUGCCCUGGAGUGGGGAAUAACUCGGGGAAACUCGAGCUAAUACCGCAUACCCUCGGAUGGUCGCAUGGCCGACCGAGGAAAGAUUUAUCGCUCUAGGAGGGUCUCGCGGCCUAUCAGCUAGUUGGUGGGGUAACGGCCUACCAAGGCAACGACGGGUAGCUGGUUUGAGAGAACGAUCAGCCACACUGGGACUGAGACACGGCCCAGACUCCUACGGGAGGCAGCAGUGGGGAAUCUUGCGCAAUGGGCGAAAGCCUGACGCAGCAACGCCGCGUGCGGGAUGACGGCCUUCGUGGUUGUAAACCGCUUUCAGCAGGGACGAAAAUGACGGUACCUGCAGAAGAAGCCCCGGCUAACUACGUG
This 487-nucleotide ribosomal RNA is filed under the name uncultured bacterium. RNAcentral describes it as "bacterial SSU rRNA". It matches the Rfam family "Bacterial small subunit ribosomal RNA", at positions 10 to 507 of the family's 1533-position model. The record is from RNAcentral.